AGGCUGGAAUACAUGGGGAUCAAAUGCAGAGAAUGGAGAAAGGAGGGAAGGAUGGGGGGACAUUUCGAGGAAAGGAAAGGAGAGGGAGAAAAGGGGAGAGAAAAGGUGAAGAGCCUGCGAGGUCAAGCUGCAGAGAACAUGAGCUUCUACCUCCAGAUGUGCCAGGGUGCAUCUCGUGGGUGCAAGAACAAGGGUUUUGUUUUGUUUUACAAAAUCAAAGUACAAAUCUCAAAUAGAAUAAUAUUUCUAAACCAUUAUUGGGACAUGCUUUGCAUAAAUCAGUGUAUCUAUUUGAAAUGUACAGCUCAUUGAGUUGUACUGCUUGGCUGUUUUACACACCCACAUAUCCACUACCACAAUGAAGAUAAAGAAAUAACAUUUCCAUAGUCCCCUAAAGAAUAGCCACGCGAUAAAAUUCCAUGCAGUCCUUAAAAAGAGGAGGAUAAAUUUUUAAGUAUUGUUAUGAGAAGAUCUGUGCCCAGCCUACUUUUAUCCAUUUUUAAAAGGACGAGGAUAUAUGGAAUUAUAAUACCAGUAAUACCACUUACAUAAUAUAUAUUUUAAGUAGGGGAAAACAUGGAGGAUUAUUCCCCAAAAUUUUGACAGGGACCCCAGGGACUGGGAUAACGUUGUGACUUUCACCUUCUCUGAAAUGUUGGAAUUUUAUAUUACAGAAUAAACUUGGAUUUUGGCCAGGCGCGGCGGCUCAGGCCUGUAAUCCCAGCUCUGGAAGCUGAAGGAUAGCUUGAGCCCAGGAGUUCGAGGCUGCAGUGAGCUAUGAUCUCACCACUACACUCCAGCCUGGGUGACAGCAAGAGAUCUUGUCUCAGAAAUAAAUAAAUAAAAUUUAAAAAUAAAAAUAAUAAA
Pan troglodytes (chimpanzee) is the source of this 867-nucleotide long non-coding RNA. RefSeq lists it as uncharacterized. The transcript has 2 exons. NCBI's taxonomy places the organism in Eukaryota, Metazoa, Chordata, Mammalia, Primates, Hominidae. The record is from RefSeq and is a predicted model, not a curated record.